UGAGUGUGGAGGAGGUUACAGAUGCAGAUGCUUCAGUUCCUGAACCCACUGAUGAGGUUUCCUUAGUGGGGCAGGCACUUCACACCAUCCUUGCUUAGUCGACACAUCUGGUCAAGUCUUUAUCACAAUAGGUACUUAUUGUCCUUACUAUAUGUUUCUUCUUUUUAAAUUAAUUCAUUAAGCGUGCCUCAAAUUAAGCUAUUUAACUUUGUUUCAUGAACAGGUAGUUGUGUCUCCGGCAAAACCACCUCCAAAGCCCGAUCCGGAGGUCGAUGAUCUGCUUUAUCUGAUGACAUUGACCAUCCCAGAGCUUUUCUUGAGGCCUUAUCAGGUUAGAUGGGAUGCCAUCGUGUUUGGGGUCUUUAAUCCAGAUUUCUCCC
This 380-nucleotide long non-coding RNA is filed under the name Glycine max (soybean). RNAcentral's name for it is "long non-coding RNA (GMAX_LNC002760)". Lineage: Eukaryota; Viridiplantae; Streptophyta; Magnoliopsida; Fabales; Fabaceae. The record is from RNAcentral.